CAGAAAUUUCACAGAGGAGAUGCAAGCUUUUUUUUUUGUUUUGUUUUGUUUUGUUUGAGCAAAUUACAUCAUGAACGUGCCAUAAAAGAAUAGGUAACAUCCUCACUAUAAAUAUAAUAAUCCAGAGCUAUGGGAACUAUGGAAUGCAACCGCUAGAGCUUUGUAUGCAUGUACAAUUAAUUAAUUCGUUAUCUUUUUUUUUUUUUCUCUCUCUUUUUUUGUAAAAAAAAAAAAAAAAAAAAGAAAGAAAGAAAGGAUGCAGAAGUUGCAUAGACAGCUUUAGAAAUUUGGACAACAAAAAUGAAAUGAGCAAAAAAAAAAAGAGCAGAACAUGCGCGCUCGUCAAUCUGCUCUUUAACGUACAGCAGCUCUGCCUCGGCUUAAAUCACAGCAGAGUCGCCGUGAACACUCCGAAACCGCAACCUAAUAACGAACACUCGAACAGCGUUUCAGUUCACCUCCUGGCUACGUCCGAGUUUUCCUACUACCCAGUGGGGAAAGGUCAAAAUCACAUACUGAAUAAAACAAUAAGACCGCACACAGGAUUCACGACUGAAAUGAACUAGUUGAAAGGUUGCUAUAGUUAACACAAGUACCGUACUGCGUAGAGCUACGGGAUAUCAUCAUGAUAUACAGCAAUCGGCCAGAACAUUAAAACCACCUGCCUAAUAUCGUGUAGGUCCCACUCUCCUAGUCCCACCAUGGAGCACGGACUCCACGAGACCUCUGAAGGGGUGCCGUGGUGUCUAACGCCAAGAUGUUAGCAGCAGAUCCUUUAAGCCGUUUGGCAGACACUUUUAUCCAGAGUGACUUAAAUUUAUCCUCAUUUUACAACUGAGCAGUUGAGGGUUAAGGGCCUCGAUCAAGGGCCCAACAGUGGAAGCUUGGCAGAGCUGGGAUUUGAACUUACGACCCUAUGAUCAAUAGUCCAACGUCUUAACCACUGAGAGACCACUGCACGUCCUGUAAGUUGUGAGGUCGGGCCUCCGUGGAUCGGACUUGUUUGUCCAGAACGUCCCACAGAUACGCUCGAUCGGAUCGAGAUCUGGGGAAUUUAGAGGCCGAGUCAACACCUUGAGCUCUUUGUCACGUUCCUCAAACCGUUCCUGAGCAAUGUCUGCAGUGUGUCAGGGAGCGUUAUCCGGCUGAAACAGGACGCUGAUAUUAGGAAUACCGUUACCAUGAAGGGGUGCACUCGGCCUGCAGCGGUGUUUAGGUAGGUGGUACGGAUCAAAGUAACAUCCACAUGAACGCCAGGACACAAGGCUUUCCAGCAGAACAUUGCCGAGAGCAUCACACUGCAUCCACCGGCUCGCCUUCUUCCCACAGUGCAUCCUGGUGCCGUCUCUCCCCCAUGUAAGAGUGCAAAAGUGAUUCAUCAGAACAGG
This is a long non-coding RNA of Ictalurus punctatus (channel catfish), 1388 nucleotides long. The record is from Ensembl. NCBI's taxonomy places the organism in Eukaryota, Metazoa, Chordata, Actinopteri, Siluriformes, Ictaluridae.